AUGGAUAAAAUUAGAAAGAAAGUCAAAACCUCAUAAAAUACGUACGGGAAAGUAAGCAGAAAUUUACGUGCAAAGUUCCACUUCUCGGGGAAGGGAAUGUUUGAUUCACCCAGCAAAUCCACUAUUGAACAGCAAUAUAAUGAAGAUACCACCCACGGUCUUUAUCAUCAUCGGCGUUUACCAAAACUUUCUUACUCCUCGUAGUUAAGGUAAAAACCUCAUAGCGCAGUAGGCUGGGAUGGUAUAAGUGGAUGAGAUGGGAAAACGUAAAAUUGAUUUUCGCUUUAAUAGAUAAAAUCUCAAACAAUCUACAACCCUCCAUACAAAAGGGCCAACUUGAGCCAAUAAAAAGUUGAAAAAUCGACAGAAAUCAAGGAUAACUGGAUCUAUGGCAUGUUUGAAUCCUAAAGUGAAGGGGUAGGUGUAAACAAAAGAAAUCCCUGUCUAUAGGAUGAAAUUCUCUGACUUAUGGAAGGAACUGAUAAACGAACACCCUCUUUCCAAUUGCAGUCUUUUCUAAUGGUAGGGACUGUGAGUUCAGUUAUAAGAGAGGGGUAAGGGUCAGCCUUUUCAUGUUUCGCAAUUUACUUUUGAAGAGAUGUUCUAUCACUCGCAAAAGAUAAAUCAUUCAGUAUAAUUUAUUCAACUGUGGGUUCUAGAGAAGGGUCUGAAACGUCUUUACCUUUCAAAGAGGGAGUUUUUGAAGAGGAACCUUUGACGCUAGAACUUAGAGAAGGAGGAGUAGAACCAGUUAAACCUCCACGUGUAGAUCCCAAACUUCGAAGUCUUCCUCCUCUGCUUCUUGUAUGUUUGAUUGGAGCAGGCGCAUUCGGAAAUUAAUCGAGAAGUAGAACCUUCCUGGGGUUAGGGUUUGGAGAUGCCAUUGUUACAUAAGCUUGAAGUGAAGAGGAGUAAAAGAAGGAAAAGGGAUGAUUGAUGAAAAUCGAUGAAGAAUAUGACAAAGGAAGUGUGAAUUAAAAGGUUAUAUGAAAACAACUGUCAAAAUAAGGGGUGCAAUGAUGGAAAGCCUAUAUUAAAGAUAACUAUCACUUCGUAAACAGAGGAAGUUGAACAAGCCUAGAAAAGUGGGUAAGAAACUGCAGAUUUAAUCAGAAGAUGACACGUGUAUGGAGCAUUAAAUGAGAUAAGACAUAUGGGACGUCAAUACUGUCACACGCAUUAAUUGUGACAAAAUUUCUCUUUUAUGAAGAUACACUUUCCAAUUAUUUAAUUGAUAAAUAAAUGAGAAGUGGGUGGACUAUCUGUAUUAAGAAAAAAUUGAAUUUAUUAAAGAUGAUGUGGUAUGACACGUGGAUUGUCAAAUAGUCAAAGAGCAAUAAUGAUUAAAAGGCACGGAAGACAACAGACAUGGGAGGAGAAAAGAAAAUAGACACGAGAGGGAGUCUCAGAUACGAGUCUUGUAUCUAUUCAAGUUAUUUAAUACCAACGGAUAAAAAGGGCACUGAAGACAACAAUAUGAUGACAAAAAGUAGUCUACAUUCAUUAUUAAAUAUAUGAUACGUUAGUUAAUCAGUAUUUAAUAUCAAUGAUUGUGUAAUGUCUCAUUAAAUGCUCUUUAUUAUUUAGAUUAAGCUGUUACUCCUUAUCAGCUAUAAAAGGAUGAGGUUUCUUCAUUUGUAAGGACACAGAACAUUCUUGACAUCAUACUGAAAUACUUAUUGCUUUAUUUUUAUUCUUUGAAAGCCUAUUAGUUUGGUCUCUAGAUUGUCAGUAACCCGAUUUCUUUUCUCUAAAUUCAAGCUUUGACCAAAUUAUAUUUUAUAUUUUUUGGUUAAACACACACUAAGCUCUCUACACUUCAUUUGCAGCGACAUCCCAUUUCCUUAAACACCCUUUUGCAAUAAUGUUAAGUACUGUCUGACAAAACUACCAUACGUAAAGUCUAUUUUACACUCCAAUCCUAGAGGAUUAGACAUUACUUUACCCAAAGUUUAGAUUUGGGCUCAGCCAAUUACAUUUAACAAAAUAGAGUCAAUCUUAGCCAAUUAAUAUUCAAAAGAUAAGUUAACUGAUUUUUUUAGUAAG
Molecule: long non-coding RNA, 2046 nt
Filed under: Nicotiana benthamiana
Lineage: Eukaryota; Viridiplantae; Streptophyta; Magnoliopsida; Solanales; Solanaceae
Description: long non-coding RNA (NBEN_LNC014052)
Source: RNAcentral